Molecule: ribosomal RNA, 2787 nt
Filed under: Escherichia coli
Lineage: Bacteria; Pseudomonadati; Pseudomonadota; Gammaproteobacteria; Enterobacterales; Enterobacteriaceae
Description: bacterial LSU rRNA
Rfam family: Bacterial large subunit ribosomal RNA
Source: RNAcentral
AGCGUACACGGUGGAUGCCCUGGCAGUCAGAGGCGAUGAAGGACGUGCUAAUCUGCGAUAAGCGUCGGUGAGGUGAUAUGAACCGUUAUAACCGGCGAUUUCCGAAUGGGGAAACCCAGUGUGUUUCGACACACUAUCAUUAACUGAAUCCAUAGGUUAAUGAGGCGAACCGGGGGAACUGAAACAUCUAAGUACCCCGAGGAAAAGAAAUCAACCGAGAUUCCCCCAGUAGCGGCGAGCGAACGGGGAGGAGCCCAGAGCCUGAAUCAGUGUGUGUGUUAGUGGAAGCGUCUGGAAAGGCGUGCGAUACAGGGUGACAGCCCCGUACACAAAAAUGCACAUAUUGUGAGCUCGAUGAGUAGGGCGGGACACGUGGUAUCCUGUCUGAAUAUGGGGGGACCAUCCUCCAAGGCUAAAUACUCCUGACUGACCGAUAGUGAACCAGUACCGUGAGGGAAAGGCGAAAAGAACCCCGGCGAGGGGAGUGAAAAAGAACCUGAAACCGUGUACGUACAAGCAGUGGGAGCCUCUUAAUGGGGUGACUGCGUACCUUUUGUAUAAUGGGUCAGCGACUUAUAUUCUGUAGCAAGGUUAACCGAAUAGGGGAGCCGAAGGGAAACCGAGUCUUAACUGGGCGUUAAGUUGCAGGGUAUAGACCCGAAACCCGGUGAUCUAGCCAUGGGCAGGUUGAAGGUUGGGUAACACUAACUGGAGGACCGAACCGACUAAUGUUGAAAAAUUAGCGGAUGACUUGUGGCUGGGGGUGAAAGGCCAAUCAAACCGGGAGAUAGCUGGUUCUCCCCGAAAGCUAUUUAGGUAGCGCCUCGUGAAUUCAUCUCCGGGGGUAGAGCACUGUUUCGGCAAGGGGGUCAUCCCGACUUACCAACCCGAUGCAAACUGCGAAUACCGGAGAAUGUUAUCACGGGAGACACACGGCGGGUGCUAACGUCCGUCGUGAAGAGGGAAACAACCCAGACCGCCAGCUAAGGUCCCAAAGUCAUGGUUAAGUGGGAAACGAUGUGGGAAGGCCCAGACAGCCAGGAUGUUGGCUUAGAAGCAGCCAUCAUUUAAAGAAAGCGUAAUAGCUCACUGGUCGAGUCGGCCUGCGCGGAAGAUGUAACGGGGCUAAACCAUGCACCGAAGCUGCGGCAGCGACACUAUGUGUUGUUGGGUAGGGGAGCGUUCUGUAAGCCUGUGAAGGUGGCCUGUGAGGGUUGCUGGAGGUAUCAGAAGUGCGAAUGCUGACAUAAGUAACGAUAAAGCGGGUGAAAAGCCCGCUCGCCGGAAGACCAAGGGUUCCUGUCCAACGUUAAUCGGGGCAGGGUGAGUCGACCCCUAAGGCGAGGCCGAAAGGCGUAGUCGAUGGGAAACAGGUUAAUAUUCCUGUACUUGGUGUUACUGCGAAGGGGGGACGGAGAAGGCUAUGUUGGCCGGGCGACGGUUGUCCCGGUUUAAGCGUGUAGGCUGGUUUUCCAGGCAAAUCCGGAAAACCAAGGCUGAGGCGUGAUGACGAGGCACUACGGUGCUGAAGCGACAAAUGCCCUGCUUCCAGGAAAAGCCUCUAAGCAUCAGGUAACAUCAAAUCGUACCCCAAACCGACACAGGUGGUCAGGUAGAGAAUACCAAGGCGCUUGAGAGAACUCGGGUGAAGGAACUAGGCAAAAUGGUGCCGUAACUUCGGGAGAAGGCACGCUGAUAUGUAGGUGAAGUCCCUCGCGGAUGGAGCUGAAAUCAGUCGAAGAUACCAGCUGGCUGCAACUGUUUAUUAAAAACACAGCACUGUGCAAACACGAAAGUGGACGUAUACGGUGUGACGCCUGCCCGGUGCCGGAAGGUUAAUUGAUGGGGUUAGCGGCAACGCGAAGCUCUUGAUCGAAGCCCCGGUAAACGGCGGCCGUAACUAUAACGGUCCUAAGGUAGCGAAAUUCCUUGUCGGGUAAGUUCCGACCUGCACGAAUGGCGUAAUGAUGGCCAGGCUGUCUCCACCCGAGACUCAGUGAAAUUGAACUCGCUGUGAAGAUGCAGUGUACCCGCGGCAAGACGGAAAGACCCCGUGAACCUUUACUAUAGCUUGACACUGAACAUUGAGCCUUGAUGUGUAGGAUAGGUGGGAGGCUUUGAAGUGUGGACGCCAGUCUGCAUGGAGCCGACCUUGAAAUACCACCCUUUAAUGUUUGAUGUUCUAACGUUGGCCCGUAAUCCGGGUUGCGGACAGUGUCUGGUGGGUAGUUUGACUGGGGCGGUCUCCUCCUAAAGAGUAACGGAGGAGCACGAAGGUUGGCUAAUCCUGGUCGGACAUCAGGAGGUUAGUGCAAUGGCAUAAGCCAGCUUGACUGCGAGCGUGACGGCGCGAGCAGGUGCGAAAGCAGGUCAUAGUGAUCCGGUGGUUCUGAAUGGAAGGGCCAUCGCUCAACGGAUAAAAGGUACUCCGGGGAUAACAGGCUGAUACCGCCCAAGAGUUCAUAUCGACGGCGGUGUUUGGCACCUCGAUGUCGGCUCAUCACAUCCUGGGGCUGAAGUAGGUCCCAAGGGUAUGGCUGUUCGCCAUUUAAAGUGGUACGCGAGCUGGGUUUAGAACGUCGUGAGACAGUUCGGUCCCUAUCUGCCGUGGGCGCUGGAGAACUGAGGGGGGCUGCUCCUAGUACGAGAGGACCGGAGUGGACGCAUCACUGGUGUUCGGGUUGUCAUGCCAAUGGCACUGCCCGGUAGCUAAAUGCGGAAGAGAUAAGUGCUGAAAGCAUCUAAGCACGAAACUUGCCCCGAGAUGAGUUCUCCCUGACUCCUUGA